RNAcentral lists this unclassified non-coding RNA (306 nucleotides) under air metagenome. Its description in RNAcentral is "partial contains small subunit ribosomal RNA, internal transcribed spacer 1, and 5.8S ribosomal RNA". The stretch from base 1 to 46 matches the Rfam family "Eukaryotic small subunit ribosomal RNA", at positions 1786 to 1831 of the family's 1831-position model. The record is from RNAcentral.
AAGUCGUAACAAGGUUUCCGUAGGUGAACCUGCGGAAGGAUCAUUAACGAGUUUGAAGUGGGUUUGAUGCUGGCCUGCGUAACACCAGGCAUGUGCUCGCCCCGCUCAUCCACUCAACACCUGUGCACCUUUGAGGCAAUUUGCCCUCCAUUAACUUGGAGCCGUUCCCUUUGCUUUUCACGAGCUGAGGUUGAGCCGGGGCGAAUUGUUUCACUUUACACAUACACCAUUAAAAGUUUAGUAGAAUGUAACCGCCGUUAAGGCAAAAACUUAAUACAACUUUCAACAACGGAUCUCUUGGCUCUC